UUUAUUGAGAGUUUGAUCCUGGCUCAGGACGAACGCUGGCGGCAUGCCUAACACAUGCAAGUCGAGCGAGUUGAUCUCUUCGGAGUGAAGCUAGCGGCGGACGGGUGA
RNAcentral lists this ribosomal RNA (108 nucleotides) under Clostridium hominis. RNAcentral describes it as "partial 16S ribosomal RNA". It matches the Rfam family "Bacterial small subunit ribosomal RNA", at positions 1 to 109 of the family's 1533-position model. Lineage: Bacteria; Bacillati; Bacillota; Clostridia; Eubacteriales; Clostridiaceae. The record is from RNAcentral.